CAGAGCCGUAUACUCUGAGAGGAGUACGUACGGUUCCCGAAGAGGGUGGUACAAACCUAGUGCAGUAAUGUAUCCAAGGCGGUACUUCCCUACUUCAC
This 98-nucleotide non-coding RNA is filed under the name Streptococcus equi subsp. zooepidemicus. The record is from RNAcentral. Lineage: Bacteria; Bacillati; Bacillota; Bacilli; Lactobacillales; Streptococcaceae.